CCAUGUGACUUACCACUGUUGCCUCGGUGGAAGGCAUCCGAAAGGGUGCUGGAAACCGGUGGACAUCUAAACUCUUGUUAAUUUUUGGCAUUCUGAAUCAUAACUAAGAAAUAAGUUAAAACUUUCAACAACGGAUCUCUUGGUUCUGGCAUCGAUGAAGAACGCAGCGAAAUGCGAUAAGUAAUGUGAAUUGCAGAAUUCAGUGAAUCAUCGAAUCUUUGAACGCACAUUGCGCCCAUUAGUAUUCUAGUGGGCAUGCCUGUUCGAGCGUCAUUUCAACCCUUAAGCCUAGCUUAGUGUUGGGAGACUGCCUAAUACGCAGCUCCUCAAAACCAGUGGCAGAGUUUUUACGUACUCUGAGCGCAGUAAUUCUAUUCUCGCUUCUGAAAACGUCUAGACGAUAGCCAAAAACCGCAUGCUUCGGCAGCACUUUUUAAUGGUUGACCUCGGAUCAGGUAGGAAUACCCGCUGAACUUAAGCAUAUCAAUAG
Molecule: ribosomal RNA, 490 nt
Filed under: Microdochium sp. P5 MLB-2013
Lineage: Eukaryota; Fungi; Ascomycota; Sordariomycetes; Xylariales; Microdochiaceae
Description: eukaryotic LSU rRNA
Rfam family: 5.8S ribosomal RNA (bases 120-273)
Source: RNAcentral